RNAcentral lists this transfer RNA (73 nucleotides) under Pseudomonas gingeri. RNAcentral's name for it is "tRNA-Gly". It matches the Rfam family "tRNA". Rfam says of the family: Transfer RNA (tRNA) molecules are approximately 80 nucleotides in length. Their secondary structure includes four short double-helical elements and three loops (D, anti-codon, and T loops). Further hydrogen bonds mediate the characteristic L-shaped molecular structure. tRNAs have two regions of fundamental functional importance: the anti-codon, which is responsible for specific mRNA codon recognition, and the 3' end, to which the tRNAs corresponding amino acid is attached (by aminoacyl-tRNA synthetases). tRNAs cope with the degeneracy of the genetic code in two manners: having more than one tRNA (with a specific anti-codon) for a particular amino acid; and 'wobble' base-pairing, i.e. permitting non-standard base-pairing at the 3rd anti-codon position. Lineage: Bacteria; Pseudomonadati; Pseudomonadota; Gammaproteobacteria; Pseudomonadales; Pseudomonadaceae. The record is from RNAcentral.
GCGGGAAUAGCUCAGUUGGUAGAGCACGACCUUGCCAAGGUCGGGGUCGCGAGUUCGAGUCUCGUUUUCCGUU